AACAGGUUUGGUCCCAGCCUUUCUAUUGGUUUUAAUCAAAACUACACAUGCAAGUAUCCGCACUCCUGUGAGAAUGCCCUAUAAAUCGUAUUUAUACGAUGUAAAGGAGUGGGUAUCAAGCACACCACUAGGUAGCUCAUAACGCCUUGCUCAACCACGCCCCCACGGGAAACAGCAGUGAUAAAAAUUAAGCAAUAAACGAAAGUUCGACUAAGUUAUGUUUUCUAGGGUUGGUAAAUUUCGUGCCAGCCACCGCGGUCAUACGAUUAACCCUAAUCAAUAGAUCUACGGCGUAAAGUGUGUUUAAGAUAAAACUAAGAUAAUAAAGUUAAACUCUAGCUAUGCUGUAAAAAGCCUCAGCUACUGUAAGCCCCUCUACGAAAGUGACUUUAAACAAUCUGAAUACACGACAGCUAAGACCCAAACUGGGAUUAGAUACCCCACUAUGCUUAGCCUUAAACUUAAGGAAUCAAGACAACAAGAUUCUUCGCCAGAGUACUACUAGCAAUAGCCUAAAACUCAAAGGACUUGGCGGUGCUUCAUAUCCCUCUAGAGGAGCCUGUUCUAUAAUCGAUAAACCCCGAUAAACCUCACCAACCCUUGCCAAAUCAGCCUAUAUACCGCCAUCUUCAGCAAACCCUGAAAGGGAAUAAUAGUAAGCUCAAUUACAACAUGUAAAAACGUUAGGUCAAGGUGUAGCUUAUGAGUUGGGAAGAAAUGGGCUACAUUUCCUAAUUAUAGGACACAAUCACUUAAACGAAAACUCCUGUGAAAUCAAGAGCUAAAGGUGGAUUUAGCAGUAAACUAAGAAUAGAGUGCUUAGUUGAAUUAGGCCAUGAAGCACGCACACACCGCCCGUCACCCUCCUCAAAUAUCAACGGUACUAUCUAAACAUAUUAAUACCUACCAUAAAUACUAGAGGAGAUAAGUCGUAACAAGGUAAGCGUACUGGAAAGUGCGCUUGGAUAACU
Molecule: non-coding RNA, 971 nt
Filed under: Glossophaga soricina (Pallas's long-tongued bat)
Lineage: Eukaryota; Metazoa; Chordata; Mammalia; Chiroptera; Phyllostomidae
Description: partial 12S ribosomal RNA
Rfam family: Bacterial small subunit ribosomal RNA
Source: RNAcentral